This 484-nucleotide ribosomal RNA is filed under the name uncultured bacterium. RNAcentral describes it as "partial 16S ribosomal RNA". It matches the Rfam family "Bacterial small subunit ribosomal RNA", at positions 30 to 507 of the family's 1533-position model. The record is from RNAcentral.
AUUGAACGCUGGCGGCAUGCUUUACACAUGCAAGUCGAACGGCAGCACGGGCUUCGGCCUGGUGGCGAGUGGCGAACGGGUGAGUAAUAUAUCGGAACGUACCCAGCAGUGGGGGAUAACGUAGCGAAAGUUACGCUAAUACCGCAUACGAUCUAUGGAUGAAAGCAGGGGACCGCAAGGCCUUGUGCUCCUGGAGCGGCCGAUAUCUGAUUAGCUAGUUGGUGAGGUAAAGACUCACCAAGGCGACGAUCAGUAGCUGGUCUGAGAGGACGACCAGCCACACUGGAACUGAGACACGGUCCAGACUCCUACGGGAGGCAGCAGUGGGGAAUUUUGGACAAUGGGCGCAAGCCUGAUCCAGCAAUGCCGCGUGAGUGAAGAAGGCCUUCGGGUUGUAAAGCUCUUUUGUCAGGGAAGAAACGGUAGAGGCUAAUAUCCUUUGCUAAUGACGGUACCUGAAGAAUAAGCACCGGCUAACUACGUG